ACACAAAAGGUCUGGUUUGUAGUGUCAUUUGCCAACACAGUACCUGCACCUGUCAAGUGCAAGAUAUAAACCGGCACCCCAUUGGCAUCAAAAAGUCCCCAGUUCUUCUCAGAAACUGGUCCAGGACUCAAAUCUUCAUUAUAAAGCUCAUAAAUAUAAGUACUAACUGCAAUCCCCGGAUGUUUGGGAGUGCCGGUGUUAUUAAGAACAUGCCUAAUUAGGUUACUGUUGUAAGUAUUUGCAUUAUCGAUUGUUGCAUCUGGCUCACUGGAGUCACCUUUGGAGGGCCAACCAGACUCAGUCACAACAAUGGGAACAUUGGUGAAGUUCAGAUCGGACAUUGCAAAAUAUGCUGCAUCAACGACGGCAUCAAAGACAUUAGUGUAAUGAAGAAGUGUAUUAGCAUCCACAGCUUCCUUGUUAGGAGGGAGGGGACGGAAAAGUGCAUAGUCUAAAGGGAUCACACCAUUUGAUUGCAUGUAAUCAUAAUAUGGAUAUACGUUUAGCAUAAAGUACGACCCAGUUGACUGCAAAAAUUUCAGCAAGGGAACCAUGAAUGGGUCCCAUGUACGAUUAAAGAAAGCUUGGGAAGGGGGGAAGGAAUCUAGGAUGAUGGAAGAAGAGUGUGGAGUAGAGACUUUAAUUUGGCUAUCAAGAUUAGAUGCAACAAGGGCAGAGUGGAUGAACUUUAGGGCAGAAACUAUGACCGGGGCAGCAUUUGGUAGGGUAGUUAGGACUUCAGAUCCAACUGCUAUGGCUGUGAUGUUGGUGGCAGGAACAUGGACUAUUACAUUGCGAGCAACCCAGUUGGCUGCAGUAGCAUUUGAUUGACCAAUACCAAGAAGCUGAUCAUUAGGAACAGAAACUGUUACACGGAUGCCGGUGUUGGCAAGUGCAAGCAACAUGGCUCGAUCAGCAUCAUAGAGCCUGACAUGUCGGAUAUUCUGAGCCUUAAGAAGCCCCACCACUUGAGUUGGACUUGGCAUGUCUGAGAGGGCAGUACCAACAUUCACACCAAUGAAAGCAUCAUUUUCAUAUCUUUAGUUCAUACACAACUGCUCCCAAAAAUGUUAAACCUUAGUUGAACUCCUUUUACAGCAGUGAGGUACAUCCCCAAUGACUUCAUCAGCAGAAAACGCAGAUACUACCAAUAAGAAGAGCAAGAGCAGCACAGCCAUAAAAAUCUUUGCUUACAGGUACAGGUACUCAAUCUUCAAAACACAAAACCAAGAAAGGAAAUCUAUAGACUAAACCAGAAAACGAGAAAAUAACAACAAAAACAAGGGGGAAAAAGAAUCUAGAGAGAGAGAGAGAGAGA
Molecule: unclassified non-coding RNA, 1318 nt
Filed under: Hevea brasiliensis (rubber tree)
Lineage: Eukaryota; Viridiplantae; Streptophyta; Magnoliopsida; Malpighiales; Euphorbiaceae
Source: RNAcentral